Molecule: unclassified non-coding RNA, 345 nt
Filed under: soil metagenome
Description: partial contains 5.8S ribosomal RNA, internal transcribed spacer 2, and large subunit ribosomal RNA
Rfam family: 5.8S ribosomal RNA (bases 1-120)
Source: RNAcentral
GAUGAAGAACGUAGUGAAAUGCGAUACGUAAUGUGAAUUGCAGAAUUCAGUGAAUCAUCGAGUCUUUGAACGCACAUUGCGCCCCCUGGUAUUCCGGGGGGCAUGCCUGUCCGAGCGUCAUUGCUGCCCUCAAGCACGGCUUGUGUGUUGGGCCUCCGUCCUCCUCCCGGGGGACGGGCCCGAAAGGCAGCGGCGGCACCGCGUCCGGUCCUCGAGCGUAUGGAGCUUCGUCACCCGCUCUUGUAGGCCCGGCCGGCGCUUGCCGACACAUCAAUCUUUUUUCCAGGUUGACCUCGGAUCAGGUAGGGAUACCCGCUGAACUUAAGCAUAUCAAUAAGCGGAGGA